AUUGAACGCUGGCGGCAUGCCUUACACAUGCAAGUCGAACGGCAGCACGGGAGCAAUCCUGGUGGCGAGUGGCGAACGGGUGAGUAAUACAUCGGAACGUGCCCAAUCGUGGGGGAUAACGCAGCGAAAGCUGUGCUAAUACCGCAUAAGAUCUAUGGAUGAAAGCAGGGGAUCGCAAGACCUUGCGCGAAUGGAGCGGCCGAUGGCAGAUUAGGUAGUUGGUGGGGUAAAGGCUCACCAAGCCUUCGAUCUGUAGCUGGUCUGAGAGGACGACCAGCCACACUGGGACUGAGACACGGCCCAGACUCCUACGGGAGGCAGCAGUGGGGAAUUUUGGACAAUGGGCGCAAGCCUGAUCCAGCCAUGCCGCGUGCAGGAUGAAGGCCUUCGGGUUGUAAACUGCUUUUGUACGGAACGAAAAGGUUCUUUCUAAUAAAGAGAGCUCAUGACGGUA
RNAcentral lists this ribosomal RNA (454 nucleotides) under uncultured bacterium. Its description in RNAcentral is "bacterial SSU rRNA". It matches the Rfam family "Bacterial small subunit ribosomal RNA", at positions 30 to 477 of the family's 1533-position model. The record is from RNAcentral.